AGCUCAGCUGGCUAGAGCGCAACCUUGCCAAGGUUGAUGUCGCGGGUUCGAAUCCCGUC
This 59-nucleotide transfer RNA is filed under the name Candidatus Omnitrophota bacterium. RNAcentral's name for it is "Candidatus Omnitrophica bacterium tRNA-Gly". It matches the Rfam family "tRNA", at positions 9 to 64 of the family's 71-position model. From Rfam's summary of the family: Transfer RNA (tRNA) molecules are approximately 80 nucleotides in length. Their secondary structure includes four short double-helical elements and three loops (D, anti-codon, and T loops). Further hydrogen bonds mediate the characteristic L-shaped molecular structure. tRNAs have two regions of fundamental functional importance: the anti-codon, which is responsible for specific mRNA codon recognition, and the 3' end, to which the tRNAs corresponding amino acid is attached (by aminoacyl-tRNA synthetases). tRNAs cope with the degeneracy of the genetic code in two manners: having more than one tRNA (with a specific anti-codon) for a particular amino acid; and 'wobble' base-pairing, i.e. permitting non-standard base-pairing at the 3rd anti-codon position. The record is from RNAcentral. Lineage: Bacteria; Pseudomonadati; Candidatus Omnitrophota.